Molecule: ribosomal RNA, 248 nt
Filed under: uncultured bacterium
Lineage: Bacteria
Description: partial 16S ribosomal RNA
Rfam family: Bacterial small subunit ribosomal RNA
Source: RNAcentral
UACGUAGGGGGCUAGCGUUGUCCGGAAUCAUUGGGCGUAAAGAGCGUGUAGGCGGCCCGGUAAGUCCGCUGUAAAAGUCAAAGGCUCAACCUUUGAAUGUCAGUGGAUACUGCCGGGCUAGAGUCCGGAAGAGGCGAGUGGAACUCCUGGUGUAGCGGUGGAAUGCGCAGAUAUCAGGAAGAACACCAACGGCGAAGGCAGCUCGCUGGACGGUACUGACGCUGAGACGCGAAGCGUGGAGCAACAGG